UAUAAGAAAUAAGCAAAAUAAUUCCCUAAUCAAUUCUCUGCCAACACCCCCUUUCCUUAUGGUAUUGUUUCUGUGAAUAGAACUGUUAUUAAUUCGCUGAGCCAAUCAAUUAAGCCUAAUAAUCUGUCGACAGAGCAAAUUUGCGCAGCCGCCUUAGUGGAAAGGGGAAAUUAAUAGCUGUGUGUGUGUGUGUGUGUGUCAGUAUUUUGUCAGAAGCGGGCAAUGUGUUUUAACAUAUCAUCAAUAUUGUUACCAAUCAAAAACUUUGCGACACAUUGUCAAUGCUCCGUUUUACGUAUCUAAUGCAAAUAUCCACAAAGAUCUUAAUAUUCCAACCGUUAAAGAAGAAAUAAAGAAAACUAGUACGAAAUUUUGUUUCUAUUUUUUUCUUUAUUUUAUUUUGUUAUUUUUCUUAUUCUCUCCCCUUUUUCUUCUCAAGCCAAAAGUUGUUGUAGCUGCUGG
Molecule: long non-coding RNA, 462 nt
Filed under: Drosophila guanche
Lineage: Eukaryota; Metazoa; Arthropoda; Insecta; Diptera; Drosophilidae
Source: RNAcentral